AGCUAACUGGGUUCUAUGGGUGGGUUUUGGGAUGUCUGACGUGGCACAUCAUAGACGCCUUGAAAUCAGGUGUUGUCAUUUGUUCUGCAUGAGUGAUGCAGUUUUGCUUUUGCCAUUAGGGUUCGGUCUUCCAGCCGGGUUGUUGGACCUCCUGCUGUAGGAAAGGUAGACCCCGGUACUGUCAGUUUACUGGAAGUCUGUGUUGAUAUGACCGAAGUAAUACUAUGCUCCUAAUUCCUUGGUAGAUGGGGUCCCUCAGAGUCUGGGGUGGAACCAUCCAGUUAGAAUUAAAGUCCAGGAGAUGUUCCUGUGGCUAGUUACCUUGGGAUGGGUGGGAAAACGUUUUUAUUAUUCUCUUUGAGAGUGUAAGGAGGAUAAGGUAAAGUUAGGGCAUUGCUGGAGCAGCAUUUGCCUGUGACUGGUAUCUCUGAUGGGGGCAGGAUGUAUUGUAACCCUCAUGUCAUUUUCAGGUGGGGUCCCUCAGUACCUGGGGUGGAACCAUCUGGUUACGCUUAUAGUCCAGGAGAUGUUCCUGUGGCUAGUUAUCUUUGGAUAGGUGGGAAACGUUUUUAUUCUCUUUCAGAAUGUAAGGAUGAUAAGCUAAAGGUAGGGCAUUGCUGCAGUAGUAUUUGCCUGUGACUUCAAUUUUUAUGCUGGGGUUGGGUACUAAUCGGUCCCAUGUUAUUUGUUGUUAGAUGGGGUCCCUCAGUAUCUGGGGUGAAACCAUCUGAUGAGUUUUAUAGGUAGGAGAGGUACCCCCCCCCCACAUAGGUCAGUCAUUUUCAGAUGGGGUCCCUCAGCAUCUGGGGUGAAACCAUCUGGUUCAAUCCUUAGCACAUGAGAAGCUUGUGUGUUGUCACUAGGAAGGGUACUGCAGGUCGGUACUCUAACCUACACCAUCUCCUACGAUUAGCAGGCACUGGUUCCGUGUCUAGCAUAGUGGGUAGUACAGUUGAUGCCCUGUUCUGUCCUUGGGACUAAAUUCUGAGGUAGGUUUUUAAUUGCAUCACGUCGGGACGACGUCGCAGAAACUUGGGGCGGAAUGUAGUGGGACAAGGUGAUUGACAGCUGUGUUCACCUAUUGGAGAGUAGGGCUCUCUAUUUAAAGGCUGAUUGGCUGAAGCCGUGUAUGUGUCACGUCUGAUUUCCCUCCCCUUGUGUCUGUUGACGGUCGUUACAGUGUGUGUUGGCUCCGAUGCUGGUGCCUGUUAGCACUGUUCCAUGGAUUUUAAAAGUGCUAGUCUCUCCGGUUGACUCCCUGUAUGCCAGGGCACUGGUGGCUGCCAUGACAGCUGUAUGCCAGUGUCCGUAAGGUGUCAUGCCUGGCGUAAGAAGCGGUAAGUGUGCAACCUGCAACUUUAAGUGAGAGUAGUAAUGUGUAGUCAUAAUGUUUACAUCUGUAUUCGCUUUAGGAUUCUCCCUCUCGUUCCGGGCUGUGAUUACCUCUUCGCGCUGUUUUUAGCGCUGCUAUUUAGCUUGCAGUGCGCACGUGUUGACAUCAUUAAAGGGUGCUGCUGGUGUCCGGUCAACCUUUUAAUAUCGCACAAUAUAGUGCUCAAAUCCAUAUGUGUUGGGGACAUGAACGUUUUUGUUAAAUGAUGCUCUGAAUGAGCUCUGUGGUUCCCCUAUCCAACCUCUUUAAUUAUUUUGUUUCUUUUGUUUAUUUUUGUAUUUAUACUUUGUUUGCUGCACGUGACUCCUCAUCGUUGUAACGUGCCCGGGUGUAUGUGUGGCCUAUUGAACCUAGUAACACACUGUGACAGAGGGGAGUGGUAUGUGAAAUUAACCCUCCUAAUGUUUUAUUGUCUCUGUUUGUGUAUUGUAUUAAUGGUCACUAUAGAGGAGUUGUGAGAAGAAGUUAAACCAUCUAUAAAAAGUGUUUAUAAUUUAUGUUCUGUUAAGUGUCUUUAACCUUUAUUUUUGGUUUACCGCAGGAGCUGGGGUCCCACGGGUGACAGGAAUUUCUACGGUGGUGGUGCUUCUCAUCGUGUGCUGUGUAACAUCUUGUGUGUUUCGUAGUGUGAUUUGAGUGCACUUUGGUGUGUGUGGUUGUGUGGAAGUGUGCUCUGCUCAAACUGAAUUCUGUCCUCUGCCGUUGGGAGCCUCAGCCCUGCUGGUAACAUUCUCUUUUAUUUGUUUUGAUUUAACCUCUUUGUUAUAAUUAAAAUUGUGUCUUUUCCCUUUAAGGGGAAAGAAUGAGUACUUGGUGUGUCUUUUUAAUCUUGUGUUUUUAAAUAUUUGUAUUAAUAAAAUUAUGUAACAUUUUGCAUUAUA
This is a non-coding RNA of Misgurnus anguillicaudatus (oriental weatherfish), 2274 nucleotides long. NCBI's taxonomy places the organism in Eukaryota, Metazoa, Chordata, Actinopteri, Cypriniformes, Cobitidae. The record is from RefSeq and is a predicted model, not a curated record.